UUUCCUUGUUUUAACAGGUAUACUAUUAAGGUUGAAAUUAAGUAUUUUAGAAUGUAAAUGUGGCAUUUAAAGUCAUGCAUUAAGAAAUAAACUUUAGGUUGAAAAUUGGAAUAUUUUAUAUUGUUAUAAAUUUAAAGUUUAAAAUAUUGUUUUGUACUAUACUUGAAAAUUACAAAAAAAAAUAAAAUUACAAAGACGAUAGAUUGUUUAUGAUUCUAGUUUUCUAAGUCAUCCCAGCAUUUCUAUUUUAAGAGUAGAGUUUUCUAUAUAAUGUGAAGACAAAGAAGCAGUUUAUAUUUAAACAUAGAGUUAUUCAUAAGGAGGAAACAGUUCAAGAAUUGCAACUUUGAUUGAGAUUAUCUAGUGGUAAAGAGAAUUUCUGAGAGGCAGAGUUGUGUUUAAGAAAGCAAGAAGUAAAAUCAUAGUCCUAAACAUAAUUUUAUACCAAAAUCCAAAUAUAAAUCACUGUUAUCAGAUUCCUACAUUUGAAUAUCAAGCAAUGUUCAAACAAGAGUUAAUCCACGAUCUUAAACCAUUAAUCUGAUAGCAGUUAUUACCAAUAUGUGUUCUAUUUUUCAGCUUCUACUUUAAAAAUAAAAAUCAAAUAUAAUUGAAAUUCCCCACAAGAAUUUUAAGUUGAACAGGAUACCACAAGAUACAAAAAGAUAAUGACAGUUUCCCAGUAAAUUAUUUCAGAGGAAUCCAUGAAUCGCUAAAUAGAGAAGCAGCUUUCUUAAAUAUUCCUUCAACAGACUAUUAUUUAGUUGAAUAAAAGUCUCUUUGUUGCCAUUAACAGUUUUCUGAAUUGAAAGAUACGCUAUUGACCUAAAUUACUUCCUCCCACCAAAAAGACAGAGGUCUUAUUUGUCCCUUGUUUAUUUAACACAGACAUGAAAAUAAAAAAAGGCAAUCCUGUCUUAACAAUUAAGGCAAGUCUAUACUCAGUGAAACAACCAGAAUAUGGCCCAUUUAAUGAUUCAUUCAGAUUGCAAAAUGACUGCAUUUGGCUAAAGCACAUACCCCAGAUAGAUUAGAUGGGCCAAGGAAAAGCCAAAAGAAACAGGUUUGGUCAUGUUUGAAUUCAACUGUUUCACCCUAUCUAGGCAAUGCCUGGAAAAGACCUGAGAAAGAAAAUAUCUGAUAAUGGCAAAGGCAAAACUAUAAUACUGUAUACACACAUAAAAAUAGACAUACUAUAAUUCUCAACUGCUUAUUAUGUGGGUCAAUCAAAAAAUGCAUAAUGUGUUUGCAUAUCACUAUUUUAAAUUAUUUCCUAUUGGUAUUUUUUAAUAAAUGAUAUCUUUCACUGUGUCUUCAUAAAAAUGUAAAUUCACAUUUUUUAAAUCUCAAUUUCAAAGACUGUGAUUUAAGUUAGAAAUAAACUACUUUCUCAAUAUUCUCAUACGGACACUGACAUUUGGCAAACUGAUAUUAAGAUUUCAGUGACUAAUUUUUCCCCAUACAUAUCUACAUAGACUGUUAAAAUUUAACAUGCAAAAGUCUGUUAUCACUGAUGUAUUGUUGCCUCUUUCAGGAUCAUGAAUUGGUAUGAUAAUGCUGCAGUAUUAACAAAGCUUGGUUUUCCAAUUCUGAAAACAUAUGUUGAACUUUUGAAAAACACAGACUCAUUCAGAUUACUGGUAGCCAAAUUAUCUAAACGUUAUCAACUAACCUACAUCAGGUCCAUAAUCACACUUGCUGCAAUGAGCAAACCAGUCCAGCUUAAGCAGAGGAGAGGCUCUUUGCCACUCCCUUAUUUAAAGCCAUUCAUCACUGUCAGUUACCCAAGCUACUUUUUCCUUUGGCAUUCACACAACUUAACAUUUUCUAUUACGGGACCUGAAGAGGACAAAAACUAAGCAAUAGUUUUCAUCAUUAUCUUUUAAUUUCCUUUAUCUUAUUCCAGGCUAAUUUUGUCGUGGUCAAUCACACAAUUAAAGACCCGCCUUCGUUUUAGAAGCAGGUUUUGAGCACAAACCUGUGUAUUAGUUUCACCUUGCUUUACUGUCCUUACCAAGGAAACCCAGAAAAAUAGACAUCUCUUAUUAAGCGCAUAUUUUGUUUGCUUUUCAAUUCCAUAAAAAAUGACUAAUGCAGGUGUUAAAGGGGGUAAUGAACAUUUUAUGUUUAAAUUUAACUGAAAUUCUCACUGGUUUAACAUAUGACUAUAAAACAUUUUUCCACCAGGGACUCUAGCCCUUAACUUUGCUUUUACUUCAAAUUGAAAAGACUAUUAUAAAGCUAUAGACUAUUUAGACUAUUUAUAAAGCAUUUUCCUAAAGAAGUGGUUACAAUCAUAUCUACCUUAAAUGUGGAAACAUUUUUUUUUUUUGUCUUUUUUUUGCUAUUUCUUGGGCCGCUCCUGCGGCAUAUGGAGCGGCUCAAGAAAUGGCAAAAAGACAAAAAAAAAAAAAAAAAAAAAAAAAAAAAAAAAGAGAGAGAGUUUUCAUGUCUUUUGAGAAACAUUCAAUUUCCAUCUUUCAAAUAUAGUAAUUUAAGAGAGCUCAUCCAACAUCUACUCAAAUUUUACUAUUUUAAUUUAAAAAAAAAUGAGUAUUUAAAAGCGGGCAUUUCUUUGAUCAGUUGAAAAGGAAACAAUAUGAGAAUAAGUUAAAACAAGUUAGACAUAGAGUCAAAAUCCAAAGGUUAAAGCCUAAGAGCUUCAUAUAAUCUUCAUUACACUCAGUCCCACUUACACAAACAAAAACAGCAAAGGAGCCAGAGACACUAAUCAAAUCUUGUCAUUAAAAACACCACAUAAUUAUUCAUAUAUUGUUAUCUGUACUUUGCACUCAGAUUUAGCUAUAGAUUUACUAGUAGUAUUUGCCUUUAGGUAUUUGAAAAAGAACACAGAAUGUACACCCUGCAUUUCCUAAAGCAUUUUACUGUGAACAAUUAACUUGAGUGCAAAAAUGAGAGGAGAUUCAUCAGAAUUUCAAAGUAAAACCCUAUGCCUCACCUAAUUCUAUUGAAAACGGCGCUCAUGGCAAAUUUCACUUAUCACUUGAAACAUAUUUCUGCCCUUGGAUACCAGAAGCAA
This 3040-nucleotide long non-coding RNA is filed under the name Sus scrofa (pig). RNAcentral's name for it is "lncRNA (ENSSSCG00030054121.1)". Lineage: Eukaryota; Metazoa; Chordata; Mammalia; Artiodactyla; Suidae. The record is from RNAcentral.